Molecule: long non-coding RNA, 1241 nt
Organism: Leguminivora glycinivorella
Lineage: Eukaryota; Metazoa; Arthropoda; Insecta; Lepidoptera; Tortricidae
Exons: 2
Source: RefSeq, a predicted model, not a curated record
UUCAAUUGUAGUCAGCUUGGGAAGCCAGUACCCUGUGUCAAGUUGCGAGCAGACAGCUGCAUCAAGGGAUGUGUGUGCAAACCGGGAUAUUUGAGGGCGGCGAGCGGAAAGUGUGUGGAAGAGGCAGAAUGUCAUAAGGGUAAGUUUCAAUUGUAGUCAGCUUGGGAAGCCAGUACCCUGUGUCAAGUUGCGAGCAGACAGCUGCAUCAAGGGAUGUGUGUGCAAACCGGGAUAUUUGAGAGCGGCAAGCGGAAAGUGUGUGGAAGAGGCAGAAUGUCAAAGGGUAAGUUUCCAUUGUAGUCAGCUUGGGAAGCCAGCAGCCUGUGUCAAGUAGCGAGCUGACAGCUGCAUCAAGGGAUGCGGGAUGCAAGCGGCGAACGGAAAGUGUGUGGAAGAGGCAGAAUGUCAUAAGGGUAAGUUGCCAUUGUAGUCAGCUUGGGAAGCCAGUACCCUGUGUUAAGUUGCGAGCAGACAGCUGCAUCAAGGGAUGUGUGUGCAAACCGGGAUAUUUGAGGGCGGUGAGCGGAAAGUGUGUGGAAGAGGCAGAAUGUCAUAAGGGUAAGUUUCAAUUGUAGUCAGCUUGGGAAGCCAGUACCCUGUGUUAAGUUGCGAGCAGACAGCUGCAUCAAGGGAUGUGUGUGCAAACCGGGAUAUUUGAGGGCGGCGAGCGGAAAGUGUGUGGAAGAGGCAGAAUGUCAUAAGGAACGCUGUACGGGCCCUCACGAGUACUACUCAUGCGGCGGCGCGUGCGACAACGUCUGUGCAACGUUACACGAACAAAGUCAGAACAACUGCCCUAUAAGGAACAUUAGGUGUAACGAUAUGUGUUACUGCGAGGAAGGGUAUGCAAGAGACGGGAACGGCAUAUGUGUUCCUAUAGAAUCUUGUCAACAAUAGCUACCUACAUUCACAUCUGCUCAAUAUUACACGAACAAAGUCAGAACAUCUGCCCUAUAAGGAACAUUAGCUGUAACGAUGUGUGUUACUGUGUAUGCAAGAGACGGGAAGGCAUAUGUGUUCCUAUAGAAUUAUGUCAACAAUAACUACCUAGAUUCAUGUCUGCUCAACGUUACACGAACGGAGCCAGAAGAAUUGGCCUAUAUAAGGAACAUUCUGGUGUACCUAACGAAGUGUGUUACUGCAAGAAAGGGUAUGCAUAAAGGUAGAUAUGAGAAGAUGGGAAAGGCAUAUGUGUUCCUAAUAUAUUUAAUUUUUUAAGUAAAAUAAAAUAUCAUACCUGU